RNAcentral lists this ribosomal RNA (460 nucleotides) under uncultured bacterium. Its description in RNAcentral is "partial 16S ribosomal RNA". It matches the Rfam family "Bacterial small subunit ribosomal RNA", at positions 338 to 795 of the family's 1533-position model. The record is from RNAcentral.
CCUACGGGAGGCAGCAGUGAGGAAUAUUGGUCAAUGGACGAGAGUCUGAACCAGCCAAGUAGCGUGAAGGAUGACUGCCCUAUGGGUUGUAAACUUCUUUUAUAUGGGAAUAAAAUAUUCCACGUAUGCGCUUUUGUAUGUACCAUAUGAAUAAGGAUCGGCUAACUCCGUGCCAGCAGCCGCGGUAAUACGGAGGAUCCGAGCGUUAUCCGGAUUUAUUGGGUUUAAAGGGAGCGUAGGUGGAUUGUUAAGUCAGGUGUGAAAGUUUGAGGCUCAACCGUAAAAGUGCAGUUGAAACUGGCAGUCUUGAGUACAGUAGAGGUGGGCGGAAUGCGUGGUGUAGCGGUGAAAUGCUUAGAUAUCACGAAGAACUCCGAUUGCGAAGGCAGCUCACUGGAGUGCAACUGACACUGAGGCUCGAAAGUGUGGGUAUCAAACAGGAUUAGAUACCCUGGUAGUC